GGGCCCGCACAAGCGGUGGAGCAUGUGGUUUAAUUCGAAGCAACGCGCAGAACCUUACCCAGGCUUGACAUCCUCAGAACCUCUUGGAAACAAGAGGGUGCCCUCUCACGAGGGAAUUGAGUGACAGGUGCUGCAUGGCUGUCGUCAGCUCGUGCUGUGAGGUGUUCGGUUAAGUCCGGCAACGAGCGCAACCCCUGUCGCUAGUUACCAGCAUUUAGUUGGGGACUCUAGCGAGACUGCCGGUGAUAAACCGGAGGAAGGUGGGGACGACGUCAAGUCCUCAUGGCCCUUAUGUCUGGGGCUACACACGUGCUACAAUGGCAUCUACAGAAGGCAGCGAAGUCGCAAGGCGGAG
RNAcentral lists this ribosomal RNA (355 nucleotides) under uncultured bacterium. RNAcentral describes it as "bacterial SSU rRNA". It matches the Rfam family "Bacterial small subunit ribosomal RNA", at positions 917 to 1267 of the family's 1533-position model. The record is from RNAcentral.